AGGGUUUGAUUCUGGCUCAGGAUGAACGCUGGCGGCGUGCUUAACACAUGCAAGUCGAGCGAAGCAGUUAAGUUGAUUUCUUCGGAUUGAUUCUUAACUGACUGAGCGGCGGACGGGUGAGUAACGCGUGGGUGACCUGCCCCAUACCGGGGGAUAACAGCUGGAAACGGCUGCUAAUACCGCAUAAGCGCACGGAGCUGCAUGGCUCGGUGUGAAAAACUCCGGUGGUAUGGGAUGGGCCCGCGUCUGAUUAGGCAGUUGGCGGGGUAACGGCCCACCAAACCGACGAUCAGUAGCCGGCCUGAGAGGGCGACCGGCCACAUUGGGACUGAGACACGGCCCAA
Molecule: ribosomal RNA, 344 nt
Filed under: uncultured bacterium
Lineage: Bacteria
Description: bacterial SSU rRNA
Rfam family: Bacterial small subunit ribosomal RNA
Source: RNAcentral